AGUGAACGCUGGCGGUAGGCCUAACACAUGCCAGUCGAACGGCAGCACGGUAAGAGCUUGCCCUUACGGGUGGCGAGUGGCGGACGGGUGAGGAAUACAUCGGAAUCUACUUUUUCGUGGGGGAUAACGUAGGGAAACUUACGCUAAUACCGCAUACGACCUACGGGUGAAAGCAGGGGAUCUUCGGACCUUGCGCGAUUGAAUGAGCCGAUGUCGGAUUAGCUAGUUGGCGGGGUAAAGGCCCACCAAGGCGACGAUCCGUAGCUGGUCUGAGAGGAUGAUCAGCCACACUGGAACUGAGACACGGUCCAGACUCCUACGGGAGGCAGCAGUGGGGAAUAUUGGACAAUGGGCGCAAGCCUGAUCCAGCCAUACCGCGUGGGUGAAGAAGGCCUUCGGGUUGUAAAGCCCUUUUGUUGGGGAAGAAAAGCAGCAGGUUAAUACCCCGCUGUUCUGACGGUACCCAAAGAAUAAGCACCGGCUAACUUCGUG
Molecule: ribosomal RNA, 492 nt
Filed under: uncultured bacterium
Lineage: Bacteria
Description: partial 16S ribosomal RNA
Rfam family: Bacterial small subunit ribosomal RNA
Source: RNAcentral